This 459-nucleotide ribosomal RNA is filed under the name uncultured bacterium. RNAcentral describes it as "partial 16S ribosomal RNA". It matches the Rfam family "Bacterial small subunit ribosomal RNA", at positions 338 to 795 of the family's 1533-position model. The record is from RNAcentral.
CCUACGGGAGGCAGCAGUGAGGAAUAUUGGUCAAUGGGCGCGAGCCUGAACCAGCCAAGUCGCGUGAGGGAAGACGGUCCUAUGGAUUGUAAACCUCUUUUGUCGGGGAGCAAAAGACGCCACGCGUGGCGUUCCGAGAGUACCCGAAGAAAAAGCAUCGGCUAACUCCGUGCCAGCAGCCGCGGUAAUACGGAGGAUGCGAGCGUUAUCCGGAUUUAUUGGGUUUAAAGGGUGCGCAGGCGGAAGAUCAAGUCAGCGGGAAAAUUGAGAGGCUCAACCUCGUCGAGCCGUUGAAACUGGUUUUCUUGAGUGCGCGAGAAGUAUGCGGAAUGCGUGGUGUAGCGGUGAAAUGCAUAGAUAUCACGCAGAACUCCGAUUGCGAAGGCAGCAUACCGGCGCUCAACUGACGCUCAUGCACGAAAGUGUGGGUAUCGAACAGGAUUAGAUACCCGGGUAGUC